UAAGGAAUAUUGGUCAAUGGGGGCAACCCUGAACCAGCCAUGCCGCGUGCAGGAAGACGGCCCUACGGGUUGUAAACUGCUUUUAUACGGGAAUAAUUCCCCGAACGUGUUCGGGGUUGAAUGUACUGUAAGAAUAAGGAUCGGCUAACUCCGUGCCAGCAGCCGCGGUAAUACGGAGGAUCCGAGCGUUAUCCGGAUUUAUUGGGUUUAAAGGGUGCGUAGGCGGCUUUUUAAGUCAGGGGUGAAAGACGGUGGCUCAACCAUCGCAGUGCCUUUGAUACUGAGGAGCUAGAUUACACUAGAGGUAGGCGGAAUGUGACAAGUAGCGGUGAAAUGCAUAGAUAUGUCACAGAACACCGAUUGCGAAGGCAGCUUACUAUGGUGUCAAUGACGCUGAGGCACGAAAGCGUGGGGAUCAAACAGG
RNAcentral lists this ribosomal RNA (424 nucleotides) under uncultured bacterium. Its description in RNAcentral is "bacterial SSU rRNA". It matches the Rfam family "Bacterial small subunit ribosomal RNA", at positions 355 to 776 of the family's 1533-position model. The record is from RNAcentral.